Molecule: long non-coding RNA, 409 nt
Organism: Belonocnema kinseyi
Lineage: Eukaryota; Metazoa; Arthropoda; Insecta; Hymenoptera; Cynipidae
Exons: 3
Source: RefSeq, a predicted model, not a curated record
UCAUCCCAGUCAUUCUUGGAGUUUCAAAGUAAUCAGGUUUCCUCAUCAGAUCUUUCAGUCAGACAGAAAUUCUCAGAAAUCGUAUUGGUGAUUGUGCUACCAUGAACGCAUGGACGUCGCCAGCAUUGUCAUAUUUAAAAACCAACCAGACUUUCCUACUUCUGAUUCGCAAGAAGCUUGGAUAGCAGUGUGGCCCAAUUUAACUGCGACAAUUGGUAGCUUCAUAUAUCAUCUGUUCAUUAACAAAAUUGGUCAAAGAUUAUCCAGUGAUGAGUUACAAUGCUCACGGCGCAAUAAUUUUUUUAGGGGUCUCGGGAGAUUCGAUGUGACGUGGUCAUUUUUUAAUAUUUUAAAAUGAAAAUUGGUUUAAAAAUAGUUAGAAUGUAGUACUGAAAUAUACAGUUCAAAU